CUAAAUGUUAAGUGAAAUGAUAUAGUGAGGGCGGCACGUUAUGGGACGAAGACCAAAAAGAACACGUACCACUGGGUGGAUGGAGAUAUCGACCCUUUGUCAACAGGCAGCUGCUCCAGAGAGUUAUCUUGGUUAAGUUUCAGUGCAGCAAUGAGCUUGGUAUAAGAAGACUCCUGCACCCACACAGAGCCUCUGCUGAAGUGAAGAACUUACAGUCAAAUCAUGGAGGCUCCAAUAAGGUGGAUCACAGGGUUGUAAACUGAUGCAACAUAUUAAUUUGCUCCUAUUUGCCAUCUGGAAUAUAGUCUGCAAAAGAAUAAAAGGCAAAAUUCCUGUUGUACCCA
This is a long non-coding RNA of Gopherus flavomarginatus (Mexican gopher tortoise), 344 nucleotides long. RefSeq lists it as uncharacterized. The record is from RefSeq and is a predicted model, not a curated record. The transcript is spliced from 3 exons. Lineage: Eukaryota; Metazoa; Chordata; Testudines; Testudinidae.